Molecule: ribosomal RNA, 460 nt
Filed under: uncultured bacterium
Lineage: Bacteria
Description: partial 16S ribosomal RNA
Rfam family: Bacterial small subunit ribosomal RNA
Source: RNAcentral
CCUACGGGAGGCAGCAGUGAGGAAUAUUGGUCAAUGGGCGGAAGCCUGAACCAGCCAAGUAGCGUGUAGGAUGACGGCGCUACGGGUUGUAAACUGCUUUUAUACGGGAAUAACGCGCCUUACGUGUAGGGAUGUGCGUGUACCGUAUGAAUAAGGAACGGCUAAUUCCGUGCCAGCAGCCGCGGUAAUACGGAAGGUCCGGGCGUUAUCCGGAUUUAUUGGGGUUAAAGGGAGCGUAGGCCGCAUGGAAAGCGUGCUGUGAAAUGUCCGGGCUCAACCCGGGCCUUGCAGCGCGAACUGGCGUGCUUGAGUCGGCGAGAAGCAGGCGGAAUGCGCCGUGUAGCGGUGAAAUGCUUAGAUAUGGCGAAGAACCCCGAUUGCGAAGGCAGCUUGCUGCAGCCGAACUGACGCUGAGGCUCGAAAGCGCGGGUAUCGAACAGGAUUAGAUACCCCAGUAGUC